GAGGGUAUAGCUCAGUGUCAGAGUGCAUGCUUAGCAUGCACAAGGUCCUGGGUUCAAUCCUCAGUACCUCCA
Molecule: transfer RNA, 72 nt
Filed under: Camelus bactrianus (Bactrian camel)
Lineage: Eukaryota; Metazoa; Chordata; Mammalia; Artiodactyla; Camelidae
Also listed under: 3 other names
Rfam family: tRNA
About the family: Transfer RNA (tRNA) molecules are approximately 80 nucleotides in length. Their secondary structure includes four short double-helical elements and three loops (D, anti-codon, and T loops).
Source: Rfam by way of RNAcentral